UACGUAGGGGGCAAGCGUUGUCCGGAUUUAUUGGGCGUAAAGAGCGUGUAGGCGGCCAGGUAGGUCUGCUGUGAAAACUCGAGGCUCAACCUCGAGACGUCGGCGGAAACCAUCUGGCUAGAGUCCGAAAGAGGAGAGUGGAAUUCCUGGUGUAGCGGUGAAAUGCGCAGAUAUCAGGAAGAACACCCGUGGCGAAGGCGGCUCUCUGGGACGGUACUGACGCUGAGACGCGAAAGCGUGGGGAGCGAACAGG
RNAcentral lists this ribosomal RNA (253 nucleotides) under uncultured bacterium. RNAcentral's name for it is "partial 16S ribosomal RNA". It matches the Rfam family "Bacterial small subunit ribosomal RNA", at positions 524 to 776 of the family's 1533-position model. The record is from RNAcentral.